RNAcentral lists this transfer RNA (76 nucleotides) under Pelotomaculum sp. PtaB.Bin013. Its description in RNAcentral is "tRNA-Asn". Lineage: Bacteria; Bacillati; Bacillota; Clostridia; Eubacteriales; Desulfotomaculaceae. The record is from RNAcentral.
AAUCUUCGGUGGCGUAGGGUAGAGUUACUUCGCCUGUUAAGCGGGAUGUUAUGGGUUCGAGUCCCAUCCGGGAUUA